CAGGCAAUCGCGUCAUAAAAUGAUGAGGAAAGUCCGAGCAUCAAGAGAACUGGGUGCCGAUUAACGGUCGGCGGAGGCGACUCUAGGAAUAGUGCAACAGAAAUAAACCGCCCAGCAAGCCUGGGUAAGGAUGGAAAGGCGGUGUAAGAGACCACCGCUCAAUCGGAGACGAUUGAGGCUCUGUAAACUCCACCUGAUGCAAGGUCAAAGGGACAAACGUGCUUGUUCUCUCACGUCCCGAACGAACCGCUUGAGCAUAUUGGCAACAAUAUGUCGAGAUAGAUGAUUGCCAAAUACAGAACUCGGCUUACAGCAUGACU
This 320-nucleotide RNase P RNA is filed under the name chicken gut metagenome. RNAcentral describes it as "Bacterial RNase P class A". It matches the Rfam family "Bacterial RNase P class A". From Rfam's summary of the family: Ribonuclease P (RNase P) is a ubiquitous endoribonuclease, found in archaea, bacteria and eukarya as well as chloroplasts and mitochondria. Its best characterised activity is the generation of mature 5'-ends of tRNAs by cleaving the 5'-leader elements of precursor-tRNAs. Cellular RNase Ps are ribonucleoproteins. The record is from RNAcentral.